CAGACUCCUACGGGAGGCAGCAGUGGGGAAUCUUGCACGAAUUGGACGAAGUCUGGACUGCAGCAACGCCGCGUGGGGAUGGAAAGCUUUUUACGGGACGUUGGUAAACCCCUUUACGACCCGGUAAGAAUGCCGCAAGGGUUUGACGGUACGGGUAUAAGAAGCCCCGGCUAACUACGUGCCAGCAGCCGCGGUAAUAC
Molecule: ribosomal RNA, 200 nt
Filed under: uncultured bacterium
Lineage: Bacteria
Description: partial 16S ribosomal RNA
Rfam family: Bacterial small subunit ribosomal RNA
Source: RNAcentral